GACAGAAGCAGGAGGAUUACAAUUCCAGCCAACUGGAGCCACAUGGCCACAGUCAGGCCAGUCUAGGAAAUCACAGCAAAACCUCUCAAGAAAACAAACCAUGACUUAACAAACAACAUUUGAAAUGAAGACACAAGAUCCCAACACCUUAAAACAGGUGACCAGGAUAAUAUCCAAGAUGGACGUCAGAGAGGGAGCCUCCAGUUUCCCAUUGAGCCAAAACUGCAUUCAGGGAAAAUUAUUUCCUUACACUGUGCAGCCAGAAGCCUCUUAGAUGACCAGAAUUAUAUUUGAAUCUUAA
Molecule: long non-coding RNA, 301 nt
Organism: Peromyscus eremicus (cactus mouse)
Lineage: Eukaryota; Metazoa; Chordata; Mammalia; Rodentia; Cricetidae
Exons: 2
Source: RefSeq, a predicted model, not a curated record